Molecule: non-coding RNA, 2856 nt
Organism: Oncorhynchus mykiss (rainbow trout)
Lineage: Eukaryota; Metazoa; Chordata; Actinopteri; Salmoniformes; Salmonidae
Source: RefSeq, a predicted model, not a curated record
UUCUAUCAAUGAUUUUCUUCCUGUAUAGUGUGGUGUAGUCUACAAAGCACAAUUGCCAUCAUUCCUGAUCACUUCAUCCUGACCCAACGAUUCAACAUUAAACAGGAGCUUCUGGCUCUAUAAAACCUCUACCACUCUUGGGCCCUAUCGAACCAGUGACAUGCACACAGCCUGUAUGCCUGGAUCUUAAUCAUCAUUUACCUUUGCCUUUCCUCUACAUCCCUGCGGCUGGAGUGCACCUGCUCCUCCAUCUCGGGAAUGAGCACCAGUUAGUGAUGAGGUGAGGGUACUCUACUAUAGCCUCCAGUGCAUGCAUAAAUCGGCUGUAUAAUUGUUGCCCUACCAACAAUGGAAUCCUAAUAUAAUGUAAUAAAAACAUAUAUAAUAUAAUACAUAUCGUUAAGUUCGACAAUAGAUACAAUCUCUGCUCGCAUCAUUCUGUAUCCCUCAACAGAAAACCACUUCUGUAACCAGCACGACACAUCAUCUUGCAAAAUUGCUUCAUUUUUAGCUCGUGGCACUUCAAACUUUGAAAGAAUAAACUCAUGAACACACAUUGAUACAUUGUUGCAUUGAUGAAGCUCAAACUUACAUCUAUAGUAGGCUACUUUUCAAAGUAACAACGAAACCCCCAGUUAGAAUUGCAUCACGAGCAGGUUUCCCUUCCGAAUCCCGGACCAACAAUUUUACUUGCAGCUUUUACUUUUAAUGAUUUGCUGACGGUUUAACGAUCUCGUUUUUAAAUCUUCAGUGUACUGUAUGUUUUUCUUUUUGUUGUGGGAGCAUGAGGGAGAUCACUCAAGCAGUACCCCAGUGUACAACCGUGUUAUACAACUCUCUUCACUAACAAAAUCUCCCAGGGUCGGCCCUAGAUUUUGGGGGCCCUAAACACAAAACAUUUUUGUGGCUCCCCCUCUUAACAGCAGAGAUAAACAUUUACAUUUUACAUUUAAUUUCCUGAAAUUCUACACAUUUUGCCAAGAGGCAGAGAUUUUUUUUAAAUCUACAAUUUUACAGCUAAUUUCCUGCAAAUCUACCCAUUUUGCCAUGGGGUGGAGAGACAUUUUUGCACGUUUAAAGCUCAUUCCAUGCAAGUCUACACAUUUUGCCAAGACUUACAUCCAUGUUAAUGAUACCUGAGUGAGAGUGACUAACAAAAUCAACUGACUAAUUUACCAAACAAAGAAUUGUUAGCUGAAAUGGCUAAUUGAGUGACUGUCAGUGACUGACAAUACCAGUGUUUUCCACUUCAUAUUAACUAUGCUACUUUUCAUUUUCAAUUAGCUACUCUGUCGAGCCCUCUCCCACUAUAAUGAACAAUAUGCAUCUUCUAGCAAUCUAUUGAUAGGAUAGGCGCCUGUCAGUCACAAAGCGAGCAGAGAGGAAGAGGCGAAGCGAGAUGUUUCACUCUCGCCAAAAUCUGUCCAAAAUAAGACCAAUGUGUUUCCAUUGGCUUAUUUUGGACCUAAGCUUGUCUCCUGUCUUCCCACUUUUAGGACGACUCCCAUUGAGACAUGAACAUCUCAUCCUUAUAUACAGGUUUUUUUUUUUUUUGUUUGCAGUCAAAUUUCUUUACGCGGAAGAGAGCAUGAUGCUCGUGAUUUUGCACAUCCCAUGUAAUGUAACUGGUAACAAUGACUAGCACGCGGUGAAUUGUUGCGUGAGUGGGUCGCUUGAGGGUGCUGGCAGCAUAUGGCAGCAGUUCGAUUGUGCGUCAAGAAUUCAGCCUUGCAAGUUUGUGUGAAUGUCUGGUUAUUAAAUGGAUACAGAGAGCUGUGAAAGCCUGUCUGCAGAUGAAGAGGUCCCAAUGAAGAGCAGUGGUUCUCAGUCCUGGUUCUGGGAACUGGACCUGUUUUUGCCUUAGCUCUGAUUCAAAUGAUCAAGUCAUCAAGCUUCAAGUGAUAUCUUGUAACUGGAGAUUCCUUCAAAAUGAUUGCCUACAGUUACCGUGUAGGGCACUGCAAGGUUGGGUGACCAGAGCCAUCUGGGACUGCCUCCUGGAGGAAUUCAGGCGUUUGAAGGCUACCUGUGUCGUGCAUAACUUCAUGAGGAUGGACACGAGUACCAGGAGGGGGAUCUGCAGCUCGCCACCGUGUGCCAGAGGAGAGGUCUGCUGCUCUACAGUAUGUUUUGAUGUGAGAGAGGAUGCCACCCCCAGUCCCGUCAUCACCCGCUCUUAAGAUAACCUUAAGGACAACUGGGGACCCAAAGCUGGUUAGGAGACACCACUAGAGACACUUAUGUACUUGUGAAGAACUGAGACAAUAUUAGGGUAGCACUGUAAUUCAUUAAACAUAUGCUGUCUUCCCUGCUCCUCAAUUCUUCUUUCCCCUUCUGUCUUUUACACUCUCUCACUUUUUCUCGUACUAUUGUUUGUACAGAUGAACGUGGUACCUUCAGGCAUUUGGAAAUUGCUCCCAAGGAUGAACCAGAUUUUUUUUUCUGAGGUCUUGGCUGAUUUCUUUUGAUUUUCCCAUGAUGUCAAGCAAAGAGGCACUGAGUUUGAAGGCUACAAUGUGAGGAUCUGUCACACCAGCCUUCGCUUUGGCUCCCCCUCCUGUCCAGCUCAGGCAUUCGGCGUCGCCGGCCUUCUAGCUCCUCCCGAACCUGCUGCUGGCAAAUGCCCUUCACUCAUCAACCCCGGACUUGUCUCGUCAUCAUUACACACACCUGGUUCCAAUCCCCACUCUAUACAUACUCACUCUGUCAUUUGUCUUUUGUCGGCAUUGUAAAUGUUGCUUAUUUUCCUUGAGUGGAAUCUCUCCUAUUUCCUGAGUACUUUAUUAUUUAGUACUUUGGGUUUCGUCCCGCUUUUAGAAUUAUAGUGCUUUAAUAAACUCAGUAGUUCUAAACCUG